Molecule: long non-coding RNA, 262 nt
Organism: Pelmatolapia mariae (spotted tilapia)
Lineage: Eukaryota; Metazoa; Chordata; Actinopteri; Cichliformes; Cichlidae
Exons: 4
Source: RefSeq, a predicted model, not a curated record
GUGCUGCUAAUGAGCAGACACUUAGUCAGGAUAAAGAUCAGCAGCAAGUGUACUCCUCUCUUCUUCAUGGUGAUCGUUGUGUCUAUGAGACAGUCAGAAGAUGUGAAAACACUGAAAAUGGUCCAGCAGAAGGUGAUUACACCAAUGUCACAUCUGUGAUUCAGCUCAAAGUUAUUAACAAGACAAGGCAACGUGGUGACCCAGAGGAGAGCUCUGACUACAAUAAUGUCAAUCCAAAUUCAGCCACAGCUCUAAAAUCUUA